This 468-nucleotide ribosomal RNA is filed under the name uncultured bacterium. RNAcentral describes it as "partial 16S ribosomal RNA". It matches the Rfam family "Bacterial small subunit ribosomal RNA", at positions 28 to 507 of the family's 1533-position model. The record is from RNAcentral.
GACGAACGCUGGCGGCGUGCUUAACACAUGCAAGUCGAACGGAAAGGCCCUGCUUUUGUGGGGUGCUCGAGUGGCGAACGGGUGAGUAACACGUGAGUAACCUGCCCUUGACUUUGGGAUAACUUCAGGAAACUGGGGCUCAUACCGGCUAGGAGCUCCUGCUGCAUGGUGGGGGUUGGAAAGUUUCGGCGGUUGGGGAUGGACUCGCGGCUUAUCAGCUUGUUGGUGGGGUAGUGGCUUACCAAGGCUUGGACGGGUAGCCGGCCUGAGAGGGUGACAGGCUACAUUGGGACUGAGAUACGGCACAGACUCCAACGGGAGGCAGCAGUGGGGUAGAUUGCACAAUGGGCGGAAGCCUGAUGCAGCAACGCCGCGUGGGGGAUGACGGCCUUCGGGUAGUAAUCCGCUUUCGCCUGUGACGAAGCGUGAGUGACGGUAAUGGGUAAAGAAGCACCGGCUAACUACGUG